CAGUGGAGUAUUGUUGUAAAUAUAUCUGAAUGAUUCUGGCCAAUUUAAGAUUUCCUGUCUUAGUUUUGAACUACUGGACAACGUAAGCAUUAAUACUGAAUUAUUAAGUUUCUAAGAAAAUAAAAGAAAAUAAAAGAACAACAGAAAGCUAGAAUUUCUUCAAUCUGUCGCUUUGUGCAUAAAAGGUUCUCCUUGCUUAUGUGUCCACUAAAAUUGUUGCAUUAGGUAAGCAGUGUUACCUCAUAAAAGAAGUGCCAUCAAGACUACUAUUGUUCUUCCAUCAGCACUGAGAUUUUUGCAUAUCUAUUCCUGUCUCAUUUACGUAGACAGAAAACAAAACAUGCAAAUCAGCGCUGGCACCUCAAUAAAGCGAUCUAUUGACAAACUGCUUUUUUACCUUGUCACUCCUAUAAACACACACACGCACACACACACGCAUGCACGCACGCACACACACACACACACACACACACACACACACACACACACACACACACACACACAUCCAACAAAACAACACCCUUCUUUACCACAGUCAUCCUCUCAUGUCCCUGCUCUCCACCUCAGGACAAGGAGACAGUGUAAGGCAGUCAGAGGCUGAUGGAUGAAGAAUAACAGUCGAUCAGUGCAGCUGAGCUCAGCAAAGUCCAGUCUUUCAGGUCAGAGGUUACUUGCAGCAUCACCUUGAAAAGUGUCAGACUGUAUUCUGAACUGAUCUCCCUUUGUUUCUUUCUCACCUCAAUUAAAAUAACAAGAGUUCCCAUCUCUUACAGUGUGGUUGAGGUAAAGUUGACAGAAAAACAUCAACUCUAAGGUGGGAUGAGCGGGCCAAGCCCAUAACACACAACACACAGUUAACCUCUAUUGUUAGGAUAUUUUGUCUAAUAAAUUACGCUUUAACUGUAAUUACUGAGAUAAUCAUGUAUUGCUAGCGCACCCCAACAGCCCCUGGAAAUAUCCUGAGAUGUUUCAUGUCAGUCCUUUAGUAAACUGUCAGCAUGAAGUCAGGCUGAGGUGAAGACCCAGCAGGAAACGUUCAGAAGAAGUCACCACAGGCAAGUUUCUGUGAGUUGUGAGUUUCUGAGUUACUUUCAAGAUGAAAAAUGUGAAGAUGUCUGCUUAUCCAUCCUUUCACGUGUAACAUUGAUAUGAAUCCAAAACUGUCAUAUAAGGGUCGCUCUUGGUGGCUUUUUCCACCAUCAUGUUAUAAACAUUACAACAUGACUUUUGCAGAAUUUUUUGACAUCAUGUCUUUUCUUCUGAGACUAGAGAGCAUGAACAGGCAACUUUGUAAGAUAUCAGAGGCUGAGCUCCUGACUGUUUCCAGAAAAGUUCAGGGGUGUAGGUGUGAAAGAAACAAUCAUGGAACUAGGGCUGGGCGAUAUGGGAAAAAGUUCAUCACAAUUUUUUUUCUUUAUAUCAGUUGAUAUCAAUAUAUGUCACAAUAUUAAAAAAAUCAGUUGUCAAUUUUAAAUGUUCCCUGUUACUCUUAAAUAAAAUAUAACAGUGCUUAUUGGUAGCAUGUCUUUUGCAAUACAAUAAGCUACUGCAUCUGUGAGGUCUUUGUGUCUCUUCCACGUUUUGCUGUAAGGCGUUGUGCUACAGAAAGCGGAUGGUCGGCUGUUUCGGCUGCACAGAUGCCAGGGGCUCCUUGCUCCUGUGAGAACAUGUACUCGACAUAAUUUGCAGUGCACAUUACUCUGCUUCAUGUCCGACCUCAAAAAACCAAACUACCUCCACACCACCGACGUUUUCGUGCCAGUGUUGUUGACAAUGUCGCCAUUUGUUCAGCCUUCACCUACAUUUCUGCCGGGGGUAGCACUAAUUUUCUUUUUUUCUCACCAACAGAUAGGGACAACAGACAAUUGAAUUUCACUUCGGGCAAUAAUAAAGUUACUCUUACUCUUAUUCUUAACAGUGCUGUUGGCUUCGCCUGUUAAAAUGCUAUGGUUGCAUGUAGCUGCAGCCUGCUACUACACAGUUGUUUACUACUCUGUUCUAAUUCAGCACAUGAUUGGUUCAGCAUGAAGCGGACCCAGAGCAACUUCCUUUUUCAUUGGCUAUUUAUAUAGUCUACCAAAACAUGGCAGAAUGCAGACUAUCAAAAAGCAUAUUGACCAUGUUUUAUAUUGAUAUUGAGGGAAAUUAAUUUUUGAUACAUAUCAUUAUCUUUAUAUCGCCCAGCCCUACAUGGACCUUGUUUGUCAUUGUCUGCCCUUCGUAUCCUAUGAGACAGAUAAUAGACUUUUACAGCUUCCAGUGCAGCCAGUUAAGACUUUCUCUAUGGUGUGUUGCCUUGGUUUACAAAUUAUCUUGAGCAGUAAUGGUAAGGUUGGUGUUGAGUUUAUUUUAAAAGGGAUUUUCGGCUGCAAUUGUGUGCAGAAAGCUGUUCAAAAGCAUAACUUAAAGCUUUAUUUUCUUUAGAUAACUGCAGACUGUGAUGAUUCACUUGCGCGCAACUAAGUUUCACUGAAUUACUAGUAAAUCUGCAGAAAUCAGAAAAACUCUGGAGCCAAAAUACAUUCCUGUGCCUAAAGUCUGCAAUUCAAAAUCAAAUUUAGCUUUAGGCACCAAAUUAUUAAUCACCUGUUCCAGAGACAAAUUGUGUCCUUACGUUUUCCUCUUUGUUUUAGUUUCUGUCAUGCUAGCCUUCAAGCUUGGGGUAGAGUCUUAAUACAUUAAACUGCAGGGAUUUGGUUCCAGUUUCUGUGCAGUCACAAAAAUGUUCCCACUAAUUAUGUUAAACCGACAUCAUAAUGAAUUUGAAGGGAAGGCCUGAAGCUGUUCCCUUUUCAGCAUUGUGUUACUGCUGAGGGACUGAAGGGCUGCAGGGAGGAAAGUCUAAAACUGGGGGUUUGCUCCAACUAAAAUCGCUGCUGGUGGGGUCAUGUGAUGUGUAGGGUCAUGUGAAAAGUCACUUCCACUCAGGAUAACCUUGUAAAAGAUGUCAAAGAGAUGUCAACUAUUCUUGGAUUUUCAUGCUUGUUAUACAAUUUAAUCAAAAGUCUUGAGUAAGCCUUGGGGGGGAUUCAUUUGGCUCACUAAAACCCAGAGGUAGAUGUUAUGUUUAGAUUAUUCCCCAAACAUGACGGUUAUAAACAUAGAAACUCCUCUUUCCUCGUGAGUUUGUGGUCAGGCAGCUGACUCCACUGAGCCAAAGAUAAGUUGAACAUAUUAUUUCUUUUAAAGCUGCAUACAGAAUCACGCGCACAUUAAAAAGAAUCUGUAAAUUUCUUUUAAAAAAAAGGAUCAGCAACAGCAUUGUGGUGUAGGAUUUUAUGGUUUCCGUGAAACAUCCAAGAUUAGAAUGCCUCGGGUUUCCAAUUUAGUCAAGAAUAUAAAUCAAAUAUACUCCAUUAUUUGUUUCUAAAGAAGUUGAAUCAGCAACUUUAAAGACUUGAAAUCUGAUUUAAGAUCAACUUAUUGCUCUGUCAUGGUUCCACCACGUUUAUUAACUGGUCUCUCAACAAAUGAAGAGCGUUUUUGUCAAAAAAUGAUUCUAAAUAAGUGAUGGGAACAAACAGAAACACUAAAGUUGGAAGUCAGAAAACAAAAAUAGAAAGGUACAAAAAGGCUUUGGGGUUUUUAAUAAGUGUAGAAAUGAGCGGUAAUGAGUUUAGGCUUAUUAUUUCAAUCUCCAAACUCCGAAAGCAA
Molecule: long non-coding RNA, 3654 nt
Filed under: Xyrichtys novacula (pearly razorfish)
Lineage: Eukaryota; Metazoa; Chordata; Actinopteri; Labriformes; Labridae
Source: RNAcentral